This 673-nucleotide long non-coding RNA is filed under the name Homo sapiens (human). Its description in RNAcentral is "USP2 antisense RNA 1". Lineage: Eukaryota; Metazoa; Chordata; Mammalia; Primates; Hominidae. The record is from RNAcentral.
AUACACAGAGAACCACGUGGAGGAAAAGCACGCGAGUUUGGAGCGGGUGGAGCAGGAACAGAGGUGGACUGGAAUGUCACACGACGGGGCAGCUGGAAGGGCACCACUGAGUUCAGUACUUCAAAAUUGCCGUGCUCUACCUCUCCCCAGUGCACAAAAACACUCUCCACACCAAGCUGCUGCUGCUGGGGGAUGGAGGGAUGGCGUCAGCGAUUCAAGACUGUUUUUCCUACCUGUUCAGCACUUCUUUCAGCGAUAUGAAGUUAAAUCCAGGUGCACGCGAAGGCCUCAACCAUCUGGAGAACACCUGCUGCAACAGAGUCACACAGGCUAGAGUGCAGUGGCAUGAUCUCAGCUCCCCACAACCUCUGCCUCCGAUGUUCAAGCGAUUCUCCUGUCUCAGCCUCCUGAGUAGCUGGAAUUACAGAAACCAGGGAAGCCAGAAACCCAACCUACUUUCUCCAUCUCUCAAGGCCUCCCCAGUAGCCAAGACUUCUCUGUCUCAAGGGUCUCACAUCCCUUGGGGACCAGCCUCCCCAGAGGGCAUGCUUUCUCGCCUGCCGGCCUUCCACCAUGGGAUGAAGCAGCAAGAAGGCUCUUGCCAGAGGCAGACCCCUCGACCUUGGACUUCCCAGCCCCCAGAACUGUAAGAAAUAAAUCUCUCUUCUUUAUA